GGGCCGAUGGUCUAGUGGUACGCGCUGAAACUCUGUGAGUUUAGCUGGUUUCAUGCUGCGCACGAAAUGACGUUCGUUUGACAGACGAAAGGUCGGCGGUUCAAUUCCGCCUCGGCCCA
RNAcentral lists this transfer RNA (119 nucleotides) under Nanobdellota archaeon. RNAcentral describes it as "tRNA-Val". It matches the Rfam family "tRNA". Rfam says of the family: Transfer RNA (tRNA) molecules are approximately 80 nucleotides in length. Their secondary structure includes four short double-helical elements and three loops (D, anti-codon, and T loops). Further hydrogen bonds mediate the characteristic L-shaped molecular structure. tRNAs have two regions of fundamental functional importance: the anti-codon, which is responsible for specific mRNA codon recognition, and the 3' end, to which the tRNAs corresponding amino acid is attached (by aminoacyl-tRNA synthetases). tRNAs cope with the degeneracy of the genetic code in two manners: having more than one tRNA (with a specific anti-codon) for a particular amino acid; and 'wobble' base-pairing, i.e. permitting non-standard base-pairing at the 3rd anti-codon position. Lineage: Archaea; Nanobdellati; Nanobdellota. The record is from RNAcentral.